UACGUAGGGUGCGAGCGUUGUCCGGAAUUAUUGGGCGUAAAGAGCUCGUAGGCGGUUUGUUGCGUCGGCCGUGAAAACCUGCAGCUUAACUGUGGGCCUGCGGCCGAUACGGGCAGACUUGAGUUCGGUAGGGGAGACUGGAAUUCCUGGUGUAGCGGUGAAAUGCGCAGAUAUCAGGAGGAACACCGAUGGCGAAGGCAGGUCGCUGGGCAUUAACUGACGCUGAGGAGCGAAAGCAUGGGGAGCGAACAGG
Molecule: ribosomal RNA, 253 nt
Filed under: uncultured bacterium
Lineage: Bacteria
Description: partial 16S ribosomal RNA
Rfam family: Bacterial small subunit ribosomal RNA
Source: RNAcentral